UACGAAGGGGGCAAGCGUUGUCCGGAAUCAUUGGGCGUAAAGAGCGUGUAGGCGGCUUGGUAAGUCCGCUGUGAAAGUCCAGGGCUCAACCCUGGAAUGCCGGUGGAAACUGUCAAGCUUGAGUCCGGAAGAGGCGAGUGGAAUUCCUGGUGUAGCGGUGAAAUGCGCAGAUAUCAGGAGGAACACCAAUGGCGAAGGCAGCUCGCUGGGACGGUACUGACGCUGAGACGCGAAAGCGUGGGGAGCAAACAGG
RNAcentral lists this ribosomal RNA (253 nucleotides) under uncultured bacterium. Its description in RNAcentral is "partial 16S ribosomal RNA". It matches the Rfam family "Bacterial small subunit ribosomal RNA", at positions 524 to 776 of the family's 1533-position model. The record is from RNAcentral.